RNAcentral lists this ribosomal RNA (409 nucleotides) under uncultured bacterium. RNAcentral's name for it is "bacterial SSU rRNA". It matches the Rfam family "Bacterial small subunit ribosomal RNA", at positions 64 to 507 of the family's 1533-position model. The record is from RNAcentral.
GAGCGGGCAUCGCGAGAUGUCAGCGGCAGACGGGAGAGUAACACGUGGGAACAUGCCCUUCGGUUCGGAAUAACUCAGGGAAACUUGAGCUAAUACCGCAUACGCCCCAUGAGCGAUCAUGGGGGAAAGAUUUAUCGCUCGAGGAGGGGCCCGCGUGGGAUUAGCUAGUUGGUGAGGUAACGGCUCACCAAGGCGAUGAUCCCUAGCUGGUCUGAGAGGAUGAUCAGCCACACUGGGACUGAGACACGGCCCAGACUCCUACGGGAGGCAGCAGUGGGGAAUAUUGGACAAUGGGGGCAACCCUGAUCCAGCAAUGCCGCGUGAGUGAUGAAGGCCUUAGGGUUGUAAAGCUCUUUCGCCCGCGACGAUGAUGACGGUAGCGGGAGAAGAAGCCCCGGCUAACUUCGUG